GAACAGGAACAGCUUGGGCAGUAAUGGUGCCAACUUUUCCAUGUCACCUUGCCAGUGAUCUUCAGAUCUGACCUGGAGCUGCCGCCACCUGUAAGGAUGGUUGACCGAAUUUGUGAAAUACAUCACAGCUAAAACAGCUGUUGUAAUCAGACCUUGAUAAGAAUUGCUGCCAGAGACAUCCAAUCAGCCCC
Molecule: long non-coding RNA, 191 nt
Organism: Mauremys mutica (yellowpond turtle)
Lineage: Eukaryota; Metazoa; Chordata; Testudines; Geoemydidae
Exons: 3
Source: RefSeq, a predicted model, not a curated record